GUGAAUAUAUGCAUGCGUCUGUGCUUUCAGAGAAGAGACAGGAAGUGAUUCAGGCUAUACAGAUACAGGACCUAAGGAGAGAGAGGGACCCAAUGACCUGGUGACUACUGGACACAGAUUAGUCAGGCUUUUGCCCCUGAGGUUGAUCCAUUCCUCUCCUCCCUGGACAAGAAUCACAGGGUAGAGAAAAAAGCCAGUUGCCUGGAUGAAGUGGUUGUAGGCACUGGGCUGCAAGACCAUCUUCCAUCUUCCUCUCUCCCCCCCACUUCCUGCUGCUGCUUGAUGGCUAGUCUCGUGGAGACCUAAACAAAGGGAGGUCCAGAUGUCACCAAGAAAAUAUAUUCUCUUUCCCCUGAGGCUGUGCUCCUUGCUUUGCAGUUGCAGACACAAAAGCCCUCAGGGGCUUCCCAGUAGGACUGAGAUCCACUGAACCCCCUGUUCACUAGGCACCCAUAUAUGCCACUAGAAUGUGAGCCUAAGGGCAGGGUGUUGGCUACCUUGUUCACUGCUGUAUCCAAAGUAUCUAGUAUGUAGUAGUUACUCAAUAAAAACUUGUUACAAAUAAGAAUAAAAAAUAGAGGAAGACGA
Neofelis nebulosa (Clouded leopard) is the source of this 588-nucleotide long non-coding RNA. RefSeq lists it as uncharacterized. NCBI's taxonomy places the organism in Eukaryota, Metazoa, Chordata, Mammalia, Carnivora, Felidae. The transcript has 3 exons. The record is from RefSeq and is a predicted model, not a curated record.